Delphinapterus leucas (beluga whale) is the source of this 1078-nucleotide non-coding RNA. The record is from RefSeq and is a predicted model, not a curated record. Lineage: Eukaryota; Metazoa; Chordata; Mammalia; Artiodactyla; Monodontidae.
GCCGCCCGCGCCGCAGCCGUCCGGGUCUCGGAGCGAGUCCACGUGCGCCAGCCAGACCCAAGCAGAGGGAGCGCCCGGGCACUCGCGAGGAAAUGGCGGGUGAGGCGCUGUUCAGGGUUAGGGAAAAGUGUGGGGCGAGUUACACCCCGAGAGGGGAGAGUAGAGAAGGUAAGGCUUUCGGGACGGAAAGGAGAGAGGGAGGAUCGUGAGCUAGCACAACCCGAUGGCCACGGAGGCCAAAGAGACGAUGGAAUGCCUUCAGGAGUUCCCUGAACAUCAUAAAAUGAUCCUGGACCGAUUGAAUGAACAGCGAGAGCAGGACCGGUUUACUGACAUCACCCUGAUUGUCGACGGACACCAUUUUAAGGCCCACAAGGCUGUUUUGGCUGCUUGCAGCAAGUUCUUUUACAAAUUCUUUCAGGAGUUUACUCAGGAACCUUUGGUGGAGAUAGAAGGUGUUAGUAAAAUGGCCUUUCAUCAUUUGAUUGAGUUCACAUAUACAGCAAAAUUAAUGAUACAAGGAGAAGAAGAAGCCAACGAUGUAUGGAAAACAGCAGAGUUUCUACAAAUGCUAGAAGCUAUCAAAGCCCUUGAAGUCAGGAACAAAGAAAACUCAGCUCCACUAGAGGAAACUAUCACAGGAAAAAGUGAAGCAAAAAAAAGAAAGAUUGCAGAAACUUCAAAUGUUAUCACUGAGUCAUCACCGUCUGCAGAAUCUGAACCUGUUGAAAUCGAGGUGGAGAUUGCUAAGGGCACAAUCGAAGUGGAAGAUGAAGGCACUGAAACGUUAGAGGAUGUGGCUACUGCCAGGCAGUCCAUAACGUAUAUUCAGAGCACAGGUUCCUCUGAUGAUUCUGCUCUGGCAUUAUUGGCAGAUAUCACCAGCAAGUACCGUCAAGGUGAUAGAAAAGGGCAGAUUAAAGAUGAAAAUGGCUGUGCCUCUGACCCCACAAGCAAACAGGUAGAAGGUAUUGAAAUCGUGGAACUUCAGCUGUCACAUGUGAAGGAUUUGUUCCAUUGUGAGAAAUGUAACCGUUCAUUUAAAUUGUUUUACCAUUUCACCUUUCAACAAGCAUGA